GUAGCUAAAUGCGGAAGAGAUAAGUGCUGAAAGCAUCUAAGCACGAAACUUGCCCCGAGAUGAGUUCUCCCUGAGACUUUAAGUCUCCUGAAGGAACGUUGAAGACGACGACGUUGAUAGGCCGGGUGUGUAAGCGCAGCGAUGCGUUGAGCUAACCGGUACUAAUGAACCGUGAGGCUUAACCUUACAACGCCGAAG
Molecule: ribosomal RNA, 198 nt
Filed under: Salmonella enterica
Lineage: Bacteria; Pseudomonadati; Pseudomonadota; Gammaproteobacteria; Enterobacterales; Enterobacteriaceae
Also listed under: 1 other name
Description: partial 23S ribosomal RNA
Rfam family: Bacterial large subunit ribosomal RNA
Source: RNAcentral